UUUCGAGCGAUGAAAAGUUGAGUAGUUAAGGAUCUCAUUUGUUACAGAGAACUCCUGGUGCUGAGAAGGAGAUGAAUGCCCUUAAUGAAUAAAGCCUUGGAGCUUCGUAACGGCCACAUGUUUUGUUUGUGGAAUUUACGACGGAUUCUCCCGUUAUAGGGAUAGGGUAUAAACUGUUCCAAACAGUAGUACCCGAUGAGAUUGGUUUGGUGACAUACCAAUAAACUGAGGUGGUACCGCGAAGUUCACAACUCUCGUCCUCAAG
This 265-nucleotide non-coding RNA is filed under the name Pontibacillus marinus. RNAcentral describes it as "T-box sequence". It matches the Rfam family "T-box leader". From Rfam's summary of the family: Uncharged tRNA acts as the effector for transcription antitermination of genes in the T-box leader family. T-boxes are found upstream of many aminoacyl-tRNA synthetase genes and some amino acid biosynthetic genes usually in Gram-positive bacteria. The record is from RNAcentral. Lineage: Bacteria; Bacillati; Bacillota; Bacilli; Caryophanales; Bacillaceae.